UUUGAAACAAGUUUAUUUAAACCUCUUACACUAGAGCUAGCUCAGUCAGAGUUAGUCUUAAAUUCUAUAUCAAAUUAUAUUAAAGGGACACUGUAGGUAGCCAGACCACUUCAGCUCAUUGAAGUAGUCAGGGUGCUGUGACCCUUUUCACCUAGUGCUGCAAUGCAAAACAUUGCAGUUCCAGAGAAUGUUUACAUAGCAGUUCUAAGUCAGCCUCUAGUGGCUGUCAACCACACAGCCACUAGAUGCUUCCGGAAUCUGAACAGACUUCUG
Pelobates cultripes (western spadefoot toad) is the source of this 273-nucleotide non-coding RNA. NCBI's taxonomy places the organism in Eukaryota, Metazoa, Chordata, Amphibia, Anura, Pelobatidae. The record is from the annotation of a GenBank genome assembly.